UUCUGUAGGGUGAACCUGCGGAAGGAUCAUUACCCAGUUUUCGAGCUCCGGCACGACUCUCCCACCCUUUGUGAACGUACCUCUGUUGCUUUGGCGGCUCCGGCCGCCAAAGGACCUUCAAACUCCAGUCAGUAAACGCAGACGUCUGAUAAACAAGUUAAUAAACUAAAACUUUCAACAACGGAUCUCUUGGUUCUGGCAUCGAUGAAGAACGCAGCGAAAUGCGAUAAGUAAUGUGAAUUGCAGAAUUCAGUGAAUCAUCGAAUCUUUGAACGCACAUUGCGCCCCUUGGUAUUCCGGGGGGCAUGCCUGUUCGAGCGUCAUUACAACCCUCAAGCUCUGCUUGGAAUUGGGCACCGUCCUCACUGCGGACGCGCCUCAAAGACCUCGGCGGUGGCUGUUCAGCCCUCAAGCGUAGUAGAAUACACCUCGCUUUGGAGCGGUUGGCGUCGCCCGCCGGACGAACCUUCUGAACUUUUCUCAAGGUUGACCUCGGAUCAGGUAGGGAUACCCGCUGAACUUAAGCAUAUCAAUAAGGCGGAGGAAA
Molecule: ribosomal RNA, 547 nt
Filed under: Lasiodiplodia sp. 6AMSTYEL
Lineage: Eukaryota; Fungi; Ascomycota; Dothideomycetes; Botryosphaeriales; Botryosphaeriaceae
Description: eukaryotic LSU rRNA
Rfam family: 5.8S ribosomal RNA (bases 170-323)
Source: RNAcentral